UGGGGUUUGAGGUAUCAAUGUCACAGCGGAAUUGUUGUAAGAUUCUCCUGGAAGUCCACCACGUGCAAAAUUCGAUGAUGUCAGGAUAAAUGAUGUGUUUGAUGAUGAAGAGACGAUGUUGAUGCAUUCGGAACGGAAGAUUGCAGAGACGACUGGCUCGAUCGUGAAGUCGCUGAAUGCAUGAUCCAAUCGAGCCAAGGAUUAAUAUCUUGGCUGAGUUUCUGUUAAAAACGAUUGUACCUUUUGCUUCUCAUCUAUGAUAAAAAUCUAAGUUGUCAAUUGACACUUAUACCUAACCUCUUUAGCGCGAACAUGAUAUUUUCAAUUUCUUUCAAAAACAAAAUUUGACAUAUAUUGUCAUUAAUUCGAAACUCACGAGAACUCACCUGACGAACAAUGUUCUCUCGAAACUAGGUAAAGGUUUUCCUCGUACCUUUGCGAGAGUAUUCCAAUAAUAUUCCGAAAUAUUCUCAGGCAUAACAUCGUACACUUGCGAUUACUAAGCCAAACCAAGUUCAUGUGAAACUCGGUUUAAACAAAUGGCAAUGUGAUUGAAUGAAAAGAAAAAAAAAAGAAAAAAAAGAAAUACAUAAAAGACGAGACGAAUUGAUGAUCGAAAGUAACGGGUCAACCAAAUUGACAGGUUGCUGUUAUAGUGAUCGAAGAACGUAUAAAUUCUCUUGCAUGUUCAUUCGACGGUUUUCUUGAAAUAUAUGUGUUAAUUAUCACAUGAAAUAUAUAUAUUAAUAUCAUAAAGUAGAGAUUUCGUCUAAUAAUAUUAAAAAGGACAAAAAAAAAUACUGGAAAAGAAAAACGUUUUGAUGAUGACAAUAGUAAUUAAUAAUUAAACAGCUCGAAUAUAUAUAUUAAACGCGUUAUUGAACUCGAAGACCGACUUGAAAACGUAAAGAAAAAAAAACGGAUGGCAGACGGCCAUCGGUUCAUAAACAAAUUUUUUUUUCUCGUUGGUAACAAAGAAACGAAGAAAGAAAAAAAAAUUUGACUGCCUUUAGAUGGGCGAGUCACAUGUCUUUAUGGGGAAAUAUCCUAAUAUCUCUCUAUCUCUGCUUGUAGAUUUUUAUUAAAAUUAACAAGAUGCGAUAAAAUACAUGUGAACGUCGACGAUAAUUUUUUUUCUACAAAAAAAAAAAAGGGGUGAAAUAAAUGUAAUUAA
This is a long non-coding RNA of Vespa mandarinia (Asian giant hornet), 1174 nucleotides long. Lineage: Eukaryota; Metazoa; Arthropoda; Insecta; Hymenoptera; Vespidae. The record is from RefSeq and is a predicted model, not a curated record.